This 417-nucleotide ribosomal RNA is filed under the name uncultured bacterium. RNAcentral describes it as "partial 16S ribosomal RNA". It matches the Rfam family "Bacterial small subunit ribosomal RNA", at positions 355 to 762 of the family's 1533-position model. The record is from RNAcentral.
UGGGGAAUUUUGGACAAUGGGCGCAAGCCUGAUCCAGCCAUGCCGCGUGCGGGAAGAAGGCCUUCGGGUUGUAAACCGCUUUUGUCAGGGAAGAAAUCUUCUGAGUUAAUACCUCGGGAGGAUGACGGUACCUGAAGAAUAAGCACCGGCUAACUACGUGCCAGCAGCCGCGGUAAUACGUAGGGUGCAAGCGUUAAUCGGAAUUACUGGGCGUAAAGCGUGCGCAGGCGGUUUUGUAAGACAGAGGUGAAAUCCCCGGGCUCAACCUGGGAACUGCCUUUGUGACUGCAAGGCUUGAGUGCGGCAGAGGGGGGAUGGAAUUCCGCGUGUAGCAGUGAAAUGCGUAGAUAUGCGGAGGAACACCGAUGGCGAAGGCAAUCCCCUGGGGCCUGCACUGACGCUCAUGCACGAAAGCGU